UUGUAAUAAAAGAGAGAAAAUAACAGUUAAUUGUUAUUGUAAUUAUAGAGAGAAGUUAAUAUGCAAGUAAUUGUUUACUAAACUGGAGAGAAAAAAAUCAAAAGAGAGAAACAGAAGAAGAAAGAAGAGAAGAGGCGAAAACAAAGGUGAAAGAAAAGAAAGAAAGAAUAUUUCUGCUGGAAAUCAGUUGCUGCCGGAAAAGAAGAAGAAGAACAAAGAAGACUUAAUACCUGUAAAAGGAAAAGAAAGAAGAAAGAAGAGAGUCUUACUGCCGGAAAAAACGCCGGAAAAACAGAGGCUUACUGCCGGAAAAAGAAAGAAGAGAAGCUUACUGCCGGAAAAGACGCCGGAAAAACAGAAGCUUACUGCCGGAAAAAGAAAGAGAAAAGAAAGAAGAAGAAAAGAAGAAAGAAAGAAGAAAGAAGAACAAAGAGGUACCUCGGAGUCGAGAAAACCCUAACUUUUAUUUAAGUCUUUUUUUUUUAUUUUAAAAGUGACGCCUCUGUCGCUACCUCGCCGGCGCUACUUCGCCUCGUCGGCGCUUUUUAAAACCGCAUCGCAACAGACCAAAAAAAUGCGUAUGAGCCUCGCGUCGCUACUCGCUAUUAGCGACGUAGCGGUCACUAUUUACAACACUGCCUCAACAUAUGUUUCUUUUAAAAAGAUAUAAUGAUGGACUCGUUAUGAGGGUAUUUUUGUAAACAAACAAUUCUUUUAGAGAUUGUGCAAUGCUUUAAUAUAUCAAACCAAACGAUGGAUAGGAAAUAUGUCAGCAUAACCAAUGCCAACAUAAUUAAUACCAGCAUUACUAAUACACCUUAUUCAUCAUUAUUCUUAUGCACCCUAUCAAACGACCCCUAUGGAUUUUAUAGUCUGAAUAAGUGACCUUAUCUUUUAUUUUAUUUUUUGGUUCUCUUUAUUCGUUUUGGCCCAGAGUAAUACUAGCAGUUACAAGAAUUUCCUGCAAAUAACUGGCACAACAUGAAGAACUUUGCUUGUCUGAAUCUAAUAUUCUUUUCAAGUUGUAGACAUUGAAGGAGAAGUCUUUCAUGGGGAUGCUGCACAGUCCAAGAAACAGGCAGAAGAAGCCAAGGCAAAUUCUUUUGUACCAGUGAUCAUUCAACUAUUUCCUCGGACUUGGAAGGUGAAAUUUUUCAAAACUGAACCUUGCAUGGAUUCAGUGUCCAUUUCUGCUAGUCAAGAAAAGUUCAGAGAUGAAGAGGAGAUGGCUCACUCUAAACACAUCUCUCCACUGUCCAUAAGUGCUGAAAAUGUUAAUGCUCCAAUUUCACGGGACGUGUAAGAGCUCAUUGUAAAUGAGAAAUCACAUUCUUCACCUGGAUCAUUGUGCCAUUUGCCUAGAUAAACUAUAUAUCAUCAGAUGCGAUGACACCAUCCAAUUCAUCUACUAUCUCUAAUGCAAAUUCUAGUGCGACGAAGAUUGCAGAAACUAAAAGGUACUUCCUUUGUGACAGGGUCAGAGUGCACAGGUCCGUUCCGGAUGAGGUACUAUUGUGCUUCCUAUUAGUGAAGAUAAGUGAGUUGAUGUGAACUUGGAGUUCCCCAAUGAGAAGUUUAGCUAAUUAUGUACUACAAUAGAGGCAUGUUACUUAUGUUUAUCGUCCCCUUGAACAGAGGCUAAACUGAAUCAAGGAUGAUUAUAGCAACCAUCUUUCUAAAGCAACUUCCAUUUUAUUUUCUGAAACUUAAAAAGUGUUUUGUGGAAGUUAAGUGGUAUUACUAAUUUGAUCUUUCUGUCAAUGGCAGGCUUGACUGAGCAAAUGCCAUAAAAGAGGAAGAAGCGAACAUCUCUUUUAUGAGAUCUUUCGGAAGCCACUUUAGCAGCUAGUUGAAUUGAAUCAACUAUGAGAUCUUUAGACUCUUUCAGUGCAGCGAACAUCACUUUAGGCUCUAACAGCCUCUAUUCAGGUAGGAAAGGACAAUCAAAUGAAUAGAGGCUGCUAAGAUUUGUACGGAGCAGGUAGCUAGAUUUCAACGAGAGAGUAGCCUCUAACAGCCUCUC
Nicotiana tabacum (common tobacco) is the source of this 2023-nucleotide non-coding RNA. NCBI's taxonomy places the organism in Eukaryota, Viridiplantae, Streptophyta, Magnoliopsida, Solanales, Solanaceae. The record is from RefSeq and is a predicted model, not a curated record.